This 154-nucleotide microRNA precursor is filed under the name Amborella trichopoda. RNAcentral's name for it is "MIR8565 microRNA precursor family". It matches the Rfam family "MIR8565 microRNA precursor family". The record is from Rfam by way of RNAcentral. Lineage: Eukaryota; Viridiplantae; Streptophyta; Magnoliopsida; Amborellales; Amborellaceae.
CCCACACCCAUGUGUGUAAGACCCCAAAGGAUCAUCAUUAAAUUUAGCACAGAUCUCUAGAAAAGUUAUCACAUAAAUGUGAAAAUUGACUUUUUUAAAGAUCAGUGCCAAAUUUAUUAAUGAUCCUUUGGGGUCCUACACACAUAGGUGUGGG